RNAcentral lists this ribosomal RNA (329 nucleotides) under uncultured eukaryote. Its description in RNAcentral is "partial 18S ribosomal RNA". It matches the Rfam family "Eukaryotic small subunit ribosomal RNA", at positions 1470 to 1796 of the family's 1831-position model. The record is from RNAcentral.
CCCUUAGAUGUUCUGGGCCGCACGCGCGCUACACUGAUGCAUUCAACGAGUCUAAAACCUGCUCUGAUAGGGGUGGGUAAUCUUUUGAAUGUGCAUCGUGAUUGGGAUAGAUGAUUGCAAUUUUUCAUCUUCAACGAGGAAUGCCUAGUAAGCGCAAGUCAUCAGCUUGCAUUGAUUACGUCCCUGCCCUUUGUACACACCGCCCGUCGCUCCUACCGAUUGAAUGAUCCGAUGAAUAUCAUGGAUUGAGGAUGCAAGUAGGUUCGCCUAUCUUCAUCUUCGAGAAGUGAAGUAAAUCUUAUCAUUUAGAGGAAGGAGAAGUCGUAACA